GACAGAGGUGCCAAGCGUUAGGCGGAAUCACUGGGCUUAAAGCGUGUGUAGGCGGAAGCGUAAGUGCCUUGUGAAAUCCCGCGGCUCAACCGCGGAACUGCUGGGCAUACUGCGUUUCUUGAGCCAAUCAGGGGUCGUCGGAACAAACGGUGGAGCGGUGAAAUGCGUAGAUAUCGCUUGGAACGCCGAAGGUGAAAACAGGCUGCUGGGGUUGCGCCGACGCUGAGACACGAAAGCCAGGGGAGCAAACGGG
RNAcentral lists this ribosomal RNA (253 nucleotides) under uncultured bacterium. RNAcentral describes it as "partial 16S ribosomal RNA". It matches the Rfam family "Bacterial small subunit ribosomal RNA", at positions 524 to 776 of the family's 1533-position model. The record is from RNAcentral.